GAUGAACGCUGGCGGCGUGCCUAAUACAUGCAAGUCGAGCGAACAGACGAGGAGCUUGCUCCUCUGACGUUAGCGGCGGACGGGUGAGUAACACGUGGAUAACCUACCUAUAAGACUGGGAUAACUUCGGGAAACCGGAGCUAAUACCGGAUAAUAUAUUGAACCGCAUGGUUCAAUAGUGAAAGACGGUUUUGCUGUCACUUAUAGAUGGAUCCGCGCGGCAUUAGCUAGUUGUUAAGUUAACGGCUUACCAAGGCAACGAUGCGUAGCCGACCUGAGAGAGGGGUAGCCGACACUGGAGCGGAGACACGCUCCAGACUCCUACGGGAGGCACCAGUAGGGAAUGGUCCGCAAUGGGCGAAAGCUUGACGGAGCAAGGCGGAGUGAGUGAUGGAGGUCUUCGGAUCGUAAAACUCGGUUAUUAGGGAAAAACAGCUGUGUAAGUAACUAUACCCGUCUUGACGGUAACUAAUAAGAAAGCAACGGCUAACUACGUG
RNAcentral lists this ribosomal RNA (497 nucleotides) under uncultured bacterium. RNAcentral's name for it is "partial 16S ribosomal RNA". It matches the Rfam family "Bacterial small subunit ribosomal RNA", at positions 28 to 507 of the family's 1533-position model. The record is from RNAcentral.